This 322-nucleotide ribosomal RNA is filed under the name uncultured fungus. RNAcentral's name for it is "eukaryotic LSU rRNA". It matches the Rfam family "Eukaryotic large subunit ribosomal RNA", at positions 278 to 598 of the family's 3401-position model. The record is from RNAcentral. Lineage: Eukaryota; Fungi.
AAAAGGNACUCCAANUGGGUGGAAAAAUAAAAAUUUNAAGCUAAAUAUUGGCCGGAGGCCAGGUAGCGCACAAGGUGGAGUGAUCGAAAAGAAGAAAAGCACUUUGAAAAAGAGAGUUAAACAGUAUGUGAAAUUGUUGAAAGGGAAGCGCUUGCAAUCAGACUUGUGGCUGACGGUUCCCCCGGCCCCCGUGGCCGGGCUACUCCGUCAUGUCCAGGCCAACAUCGGUCUGGGUGGCCGGUCAAAGACCCCGGGAAUGUAUCUACCUUCGGGUCGACUUAUAGCCCGGGGUGGAAUGCGGCCCACCCGGACCGAGGAACGC